AUUGAACGCUGGCGGAAUGCUUUACACAUGCAAGUCGAACGGUAGAGGGGGCAACCCCUUGAGAGUGGCGAACGGGUGAGUAAUAUAUCGGAACGUGCCCAGUCGUGGGGAUAACGUAGCGAAAGUUACGCUAAUACCGCAUACGAUCUAAGGAUGAAAGCGGGGGAUCGCAAGACCUCGCGCGAUUGGAGCGGCCGAUAUCAGAUUAGGUAGUUGGUGAGGUAAAGGCUCACCAAGCCAACGAUCUGUAGCUGGUCUGAGAGGACGACCAGCCACACUGGAACUGAGACACGGUCCAGACUCCUACGGGAGGCAGCAGUGGGGAAUUUUGGGACAAUGGACGCAAGUCUGAUCCAGCCAUUCCGCGUGCAGGAUGAAGGCCCUCGGGUUGUAAACUGCUUUUGUACAGGAAGAAACACUACUUCGUGAAGUAGCUUGACGGUACUGUAAGAAUAAGGAUCGGCUAACUCCGUGCCAGCAGCCGC
RNAcentral lists this ribosomal RNA (485 nucleotides) under uncultured bacterium. RNAcentral describes it as "bacterial SSU rRNA". It matches the Rfam family "Bacterial small subunit ribosomal RNA", at positions 30 to 518 of the family's 1533-position model. The record is from RNAcentral.